CCUACGGGAGGCAGCAGUGAGGAAUAUUGGUCAAUGGGCGGGAGCCUGAACCAGCCAAGUCGCGUGAGGGAAGACGGUCCUACGGAUUGUAAACCUCUUUUGCCGGGGAGCAACGGGGUCCUUGCGAGGGCCCGAUGCACGUACCCGGAUAAAAAGCAUCGGCUAACUCCGUGCCAGCAGCCGCGGUAAUACGGCGUAUGCGAACGGUAGCCGGAUUUAUGUUGUUUAAGGGUUGCGUAGGCGGUCUGGUAAGUCAGCGGUAAAAUGUAGUGACGCACCACCGGCCUGACGGUGAAACUGGCGGCCUCUAGUGGGCGAGAGGUAUGCGGAAUGCGUGGUGGAGCGGUGAAAUGCAGAGAUAUCACGCAGAACUACGAUUGCGAAGGCAGCAUACCGGCGCUCAACUGACGCUCAUGCACGAAAGUGUGGGUAUCGAACAGGAUUAGAUACCCUUGUAGUC
This 460-nucleotide ribosomal RNA is filed under the name uncultured bacterium. Its description in RNAcentral is "partial 16S ribosomal RNA". It matches the Rfam family "Bacterial small subunit ribosomal RNA", at positions 338 to 795 of the family's 1533-position model. The record is from RNAcentral.